UAUAAAGGUUCAUACAAUGGGGUGGA
Molecule: non-coding RNA, 26 nt
Filed under: Rattus norvegicus (Norway rat)
Lineage: Eukaryota; Metazoa; Chordata; Mammalia; Rodentia; Muridae
Source: RNAcentral